GCCCGGUUAGCUCAGUUGGUUAGAGUACUUCCUUGACAUGGAAGUGGUCAGAAGUUCGAGUCUUCUACCGGGCA
Molecule: transfer RNA, 74 nt
Filed under: Candidatus Endomicrobiellum cubanum
Lineage: Bacteria; Pseudomonadati; Elusimicrobiota; Endomicrobiia; Endomicrobiales; Endomicrobiaceae
Also listed under: 1 other name
Description: tRNA-Val
Rfam family: tRNA
About the family: Transfer RNA (tRNA) molecules are approximately 80 nucleotides in length. Their secondary structure includes four short double-helical elements and three loops (D, anti-codon, and T loops).
Source: RNAcentral